This 229-nucleotide ribosomal RNA is filed under the name uncultured bacterium. Its description in RNAcentral is "partial 16S ribosomal RNA". It matches the Rfam family "Bacterial small subunit ribosomal RNA", at positions 568 to 796 of the family's 1533-position model. The record is from RNAcentral.
UGCGCAGGCGGAAUGAUUAGUCAGUGGUGAAAGCCCUCGGCUCAACCGAGGAACUGCCAUUGAUACUGUCAUUCUUGAGUACAGUUGUAGUGGGCGGAAUGUGUCAUGUAGCGGUGAAAUGCAUAGAGAUGACACAGAACACCGAUCGCGAAGGCAGCUCACUAAGCUGAAACUGACGCUCAGGCACGAAAGCGUGGGGAGCGAACAGGAUUAGAUACCCUGGUAGUCC